UGGGGAAUCUUGGACAAUGGGCGCAAGCCUGAUCCAGCCAUGCCGCGUGCAGGAUGACGGUCCUAUGGAUUGUAAACUGCUUUUGUACAGGAAGAAACAGUUCUACGUGUAGAACCUUGACGGUACUGUAAGAAUAAGGAUCGGCUAACUCCGUGCCAGCAGCCGCGGUAAUACGGAGGAUCCAAGCGUUAUCCGGAAUCAUUGGGUUUAAAGGGUCCGUAGGCGGUUAGAUAAGUCAGUGGUGAAAGCCCAUCGCUCAACGGUGGAACGGCCAUUGAUACUGUCUGACUUGAAUUAUUAGGAAGUAACUAGAAUAUGUAGUGUAGCGGUGAAAUGCUUAGAGAUUACAUGGAAUACCAAUUGCGAAGGCAGGUUACUACUAAUGGAUUGACGCUGAUGGACGAAAGCGUGGGUAGCGAACAGGAUUAGAUACCCCAGUAGCCCCUGAGCGGGCUGGCAAGGCGCAU
This 467-nucleotide ribosomal RNA is filed under the name uncultured bacterium. Its description in RNAcentral is "bacterial SSU rRNA". It matches the Rfam family "Bacterial small subunit ribosomal RNA", at positions 355 to 825 of the family's 1533-position model. The record is from RNAcentral.